This 610-nucleotide ribosomal RNA is filed under the name Trichoderma longibrachiatum. Its description in RNAcentral is "eukaryotic LSU rRNA". The stretch from base 226 to 379 matches the Rfam family "5.8S ribosomal RNA". The record is from RNAcentral. Lineage: Eukaryota; Fungi; Ascomycota; Sordariomycetes; Hypocreales; Hypocreaceae.
GCUCGGGGCUGGCGGUCCCAACCCCAAUGUGAACGUUACCAAUCUGUUGCCUCGGCGGGAUUCUCUUGCCCCGGGCGCGUCGCAGCCCCGGAUCCCAUGGCGCCCGCCGGAGGACCAACUCCAAACUCUUUUUUUCUCUCCGUCGCGGCUCCCGUCGCGGCUCUGUUUUAUUUUUGCUCUGAGCCUUUCUCGGCGACCCUAGCGGGCGUCUCGAAAAUGAAUCAAAACUUUCAACAACGGAUCUCUUGGUUCUGGCAUCGAUGAAGAACGCAGCGAAAUGCGAUAAGUAAUGUGAAUUGCAGAAUUCAGUGAAUCAUCGAAUCUUUGAACGCACAUUGCGCCCGCCAGUAUUCUGGCGGGCAUGCCUGUCCGAGCGUCAUUUCAACCCUCGAACCCCUCCGGGGGGUCGGCGUUGGGGAUCGGCCCCUCACCGGGCCGCCCCCGAAAUACAGUGGCGGUCUCGCCGCAGCCUCUCCUGCGCAGUAGUUUGCACACUCGCACCGGGAGCGCGGCGCGGCCACAGCCGUAAAACACCCCAAACUUCUGAAAUGUUGACCUCGGAUCAGGUAGGAAUACCCGCUGAACUUAAGCAUAUCAAUAAGCGGAGGAA